UCAAAAUGUCUAACAAAACAUUGGACCCGAAUACUCUCAACUAAAACCUUAGGCGAGCGGCGACAUAAAAUUUUGAGGGGUCUGGCGGCCGCCGCAGUUAACGAGUAGGCGACGACGAUAAGGUUUAAGCAACGAUAGUGACGUUAAAGUUGUGGUCCAUGUUUUAGCAUUUUUUUAGAGGUUUUCUCUAUACGGUAGGGUUUACAAUGUUGACGGCUAGAUUUUUGCACGCUUUUUUCUCAGCGGCGGAUCGACGAUGGAGAUGGUUACGCCAGGACGAGGAGAUGAUGUGAUGGAUCAAGGAGCGGACGGCUACAGCUGGACGAAGAAGGACAGUUAGCAGCUUUUGUGGAUAUCCAGGAACGUCCAAAAAAACCUGGGAACGGCAGGCCUGCACAACAAAUCCUGUCACGAGGAGUGAUUUGUUGGUAACGAUCAAUCUCUUCUAGUGUUUGAUGUUUUAGGUGCUCCAGUUCGGGCUCCACUGGUCAUUUACUGUUUUCUUAGUCUCAAAUGUUUUUGUUGGUUUGAACUUUUAUUAUUUUCUUGUUUUCGUUGUCGGGUUGUUCUUAGCGCAUGGGUUGUACGUCUUUAUUCAAGGUCUUUUUUAUUUGGGAUGAUUUGUAACACAGAAUGUGUUUGCAUAUGCU
RNAcentral lists this long non-coding RNA (650 nucleotides) under Linum usitatissimum (flax). Its description in RNAcentral is "long non-coding RNA (LUSI_LNC003611)". The record is from RNAcentral. Lineage: Eukaryota; Viridiplantae; Streptophyta; Magnoliopsida; Malpighiales; Linaceae.